This is a long non-coding RNA of Danio aesculapii, 455 nucleotides long. RefSeq lists it as uncharacterized. The transcript has 4 exons. Lineage: Eukaryota; Metazoa; Chordata; Actinopteri; Cypriniformes; Danionidae. The record is from RefSeq and is a predicted model, not a curated record.
CAGAGCUUCUGAAUGACAACAUUCUGUUGGGAAAACAGGAAAACAUGUCUAGACCGUUUUACACACAGAUGCUGCAGAUGACAGCUCACUUACAAUGGUUUAAAAACAAUAAACAACACGUUUUCCAGCUUAUCAACACGUAAUAAGGACGCACAAUGUGAUAAUGAGAGUCUGGAGUGUCAAACGACUCACCUAAUGAGGCACGUGUUUGGACUGUACAGUCAACAGGCGCAACGAUUUGGGACGUUUGGACUACAUUUACUGGCGUGAUGGACAUCUGCUGCGGACAGACAGAGGGUUAAAGCUGGACAUGACACACUCGUCUGAAAGAGAGGAAGACAUGCAGGAUCCACUGACAAUCCAAGAAAAGAAGACCCUGACGAUGGGUUUCUGGGGCGAGCGGGGAUUGCCUCGUGUUGCGUCAGUGGGCAUCUGCAGGACAGCCAGGGUGUUUG